GAGUAUGUAUAUAUAUACACAUAUGUAUGUAUAUGUGUAUAUAUAUAUAUACAUAUACAUAUAUGUGUAUAUACAUAUACAUACACACAUAUGUAUAUACAUAUGUGUAUGUAUA
RNAcentral lists this microRNA precursor (115 nucleotides) under Procavia capensis (Cape rock hyrax). RNAcentral's name for it is "miRNA (ENSPCAG00000019670.1)". The record is from RNAcentral. Lineage: Eukaryota; Metazoa; Chordata; Mammalia; Hyracoidea; Procaviidae.